Molecule: ribosomal RNA, 498 nt
Filed under: uncultured bacterium
Lineage: Bacteria
Description: partial 16S ribosomal RNA
Rfam family: Bacterial small subunit ribosomal RNA
Source: RNAcentral
AUUGAACGCUGGCGGCAUGCCUUACACAUGCAAGUCGAACGGUAACAGGUCUUCGGAUGCUGACGAGUGGCGAACGGGUGAGUAAUACAUCGGAACGUGCCUAGUAGUGGGGGAUAACUACUCGAAAGAGUGGCUAAUACCGCAUGAGAUCUACGGAUGAAAGCAGGGGAUCGCAAGACCUUGUGCUACUAGAGCGGCCGAUGGCAGAUUAGGGAGUUGGUGGGAUAAAAGCUUACCAAGCCGACGAUCUGUAGCUGGUCUGAGAGGACGAUCAGCCACCCUGGGAAUGAGACACGGCCCAGACCCCUACGGGAGGCAGCAGUGGGGAAUUUUGGACAAUGGGCGCAAGCCUGAUCCAGCAAUGCCGCGUGCAGGAUGAAGGCCUUCGGGUUGUAAACUGCUUUUGUACGGAACGAAAAGCCCUGGGUUAAUACCCUGGGGUCAUGACGGUACCGUAAGAAUAAGCACCGGCUAACUACGUGCCAGCCGCCGCCGUAA